RNAcentral lists this long non-coding RNA (614 nucleotides) under Brassica napus (rape). Its description in RNAcentral is "long non-coding RNA (BNAP_LNC011097)". Lineage: Eukaryota; Viridiplantae; Streptophyta; Magnoliopsida; Brassicales; Brassicaceae. The record is from RNAcentral.
CCCCUCGUUCAAACCAUCAGAUGGUUCUACCAGCUUGAUCAUGUACAUAUAUAAUAAUAAAUGAAUGUACAUAUAAAUACAAUAUAAAUGCAGCAAGUAUACUCUCUUUGCACACCUACCAAGCGAAUACAUAUAUUAAAGCCGUGUUCGAAAAUGCGGGGGAGUUGACGAUUACUCGGACGCGUAUACGGUAAGCGGAGCAUGGCCGUGGCGAAAAGUGUCUGAUCGGGUGCUCUGUGCGGCAAGGCGAAUUGUUUCCGCCUAUCCAGUGUAUUUGUGAAACGCGGGGGCCUAGAUUCAAAACGUUUUACGCAAUUAAGCCCAAGAUCCUUUGGUCUGAAUCCUAAUCCAAAGCAUUUGUCACGAAAUCAAGAGAAAAAAUGAGAGGUGGAGACAAAAUCCAAAGGGGAUUGAGAUCUCGUUCCAAACAAAAUAAAGUUGAAUCUUGUUCCUGCAUAGUCUAUCUUCUUCUAUUUCACGAAACUGAGGAAGAAGAAGACUUAUUUACAAGUCUACCAUUCACUAAAAACAAAAGAAAUAUUAAAAAAAAAAAUUAACGUAACACUGUUCAAACUCUAAGAUAAAUUGAAUCAAACCACAUUAUUGUCCACUAC